AGAUGCAUUUUGCGGCAUGGAAGAGAGGAAGAAUGGUUUUUAGAGAGUUGCUGAACGAACUCGUUUAAUGGCCGUAGCAAUGGUGGACAAAAUUACAUCAUGCACUGAAGAAAACUUAAUUGAGGCACUUGUAAGCAAAAAGAAAAUUUACAAGAUGAAACAAUUGCUCAGACCCUGGUCUUCACAUUUACUUGGGCAAAGCAAUGAACGACAAGUUAUUAUCAUUCAAUGAUAGAAAUUUCAUGUAGGCACUUGUUCAAAAAGAAAUUUCUCCAAAUGAAACAACAAUUGCUAAAUCUUUUGGUUUCCACAUUUACUUGCCAUGCAAAUUUCUAUUCGACCAUGGUUUCAGAUUUCUAUCGUAGAACAAAUAUGGAAGAGGGGAGGGAUAAAUGUAGGAGAUUAUGUACUCAAAAGGAUUCAAAUGGGAGCUUCUCAAAUUACAGUGGAUGCCCUCUAUGAAAUCAUUUGAUAAUUCAUUAAGCUGUGAGCCAAGUUUAAGAUGCCAAGAAUUUGCAGAAGAAUCAAGGUUGAAUUAUGGUGUAUUAAGAAGUUUAAGAAUUAAGAAAUUUGCAGAUUGAGGUAUCAUGGUGGAAAAAGUUGACAGACUUGGAAAUAUCAUGUAUUACCUAUGGCCGUAUAUCUUAAGUGCAGGAUUUUGUCUUCCAGAAGAAGGAAAUUAUGGGUUUUAGGAGAGUAGUAGGAAGAACUCAGUUAACGAGAUGCAUUUUGUGGCAUGGAAGAGAGGAAGAAUGGUUUUAUGAGAGUUUCUGAAUGAAUUCAAUUAAUGGUUGGUUAUGCUUUCUCAAAGUUGCUCUCUGUUCUUUCUUUAAUGCUUGAUGUUUAAUGUGAAAGCAUAUCUGAAGAAAGCUGGCUCUGUUAUUUCUUGACGGUUGCUAACUAUGUUGAGAAAUUCAAUGAAUUUUCUGUUAAACAUUUGAGGCCGUAGCAAUGGAGGAUGAAAUUACAUUGUGCACUGAAGAAAACUUGAUUGAGGCACUUGUAAACAAAAAGAAAAUUUACAAGACGAAACAAUUGCUCAAACCCUUGUCUUCAAAUUUACUUGUGAAGCAUUUUGCCGUAUGGAAGAGAGGAAGAAUGGUACUAGGAGAGUAGUCGAAAGAAGUUAAUUAAUGAAUUUAAGAUUGGCAGGGUAAAUACUGGAGGCCAUAGAAAUUGGUCAAGGCACUUGUAACAAAAAGAUAAUCUGCCAGAUGAAACAAGUGCUCACUCCCUGGUUUUCACAUUUGCAAUUCGGUUAUGGGAAAGAGGUAGAAUGACGUUAGGAGAGUAGUCGAAAAACCUUAACCAAUGAGUUGAUUUACUAGUUCAAUGGCAUCCUAUAUAUGCUGAGAAUUUACAAUUUCUGUCACUCAGGAGAAGAAAUGAAGGUCCAAUUUUUAUCAUUCAAUAGUAGAACUUCAUGGAGGCACUUAUUAACAAGAAGAAACUUUUUCCUAAUGAAACAAGUGUUGAAUCUUCUGGUUUUCACAUUUUCUUGGUGGGCUCUAUAAUAUUAUCUCCUAUUUUCUUCUUGAAUUAGCAUCAUCACUGUCGUUUGUAGUCUAAUAAAUAAUGGAAAAUGAU
Long non-coding RNA from Pistacia vera, 1587 nucleotides. RefSeq lists it as uncharacterized. The transcript is spliced from 13 exons. Lineage: Eukaryota; Viridiplantae; Streptophyta; Magnoliopsida; Sapindales; Anacardiaceae. The record is from RefSeq and is a predicted model, not a curated record.